AUGUAUAAGUACAUUUUUUGAAACUGCGAACGGCUCAUUAGAGGUUAUAUAAAGUUUUGGGCUGCCUUUUAGGCUAUCUUCGACAAAUUGAAGCUAAUACAUGCAAACAUGUCCUUUUCGAAGGGCGCAAUAUUAGAACUACUGGCUUGCCGGCGGUUGAUUUCAAUUAUCGUUUCGAUAUCGGAAGGCGACUUCCGAUGGCCGUAAACUGUGUACGCCCUAUCACCCAGCAGGUUAAUCAUUCGCUAACCAGGGGUAUUACGGGUAACGGAGAACUAGGGUUCGUCUCCGGAGAAGAAGCCUUUGAAAGGCUACUACAUCCAAGGAAGGCAGCAGGCGCGUAACUUAUCCACUACCACAGUGAGAUAGUAACUAGUCUUAACUAUUGACUGAUCUUUUAGGUUAGUCAUGGUCCAUGAGUUGAGCCUAAAUAGCUCUUCGAGGACCAAGUGGAGGGCAAGUCUGGUGCCAGCAGCCGCGGUAAUUCCAGCUCCACUAGCGUAAAAUAUUACUGCUGCGGUUAAAAAGCUCGUAGUUGAAUCUAGUCGUGUCCGUUGGGUUUGUCGUUGGCGUUUAUUCGUCUUUGGCGUUAAUUCACGGCCGAUUUUUGCUGGUUUGCUGUUGGUCUUCGGAUCUUCGGUGGCUAGCGAGUUACUUUGAUCAAAUCAGAGUGCUCAAAACAGGCGAAAGCUUGUAUGAUUUCUCGAGGAAUAACAGAAGAGGACUUCGGUUCUAUUUGUUGGUUCCAGAAUCGUUUAAUGGUUAAGAGGGACAAUUCGGGGGCAAACGUAUCCUCGCGCGAGGGGUGAAAUCCGUAGACCGUGAGGAGACGACCAAUAGCGAAAGCAUUUGCCAA
Molecule: ribosomal RNA, 856 nt
Filed under: Rhabditis sp. 1 MK-2017
Lineage: Eukaryota; Metazoa; Nematoda; Chromadorea; Rhabditida; Rhabditidae
Description: SSU rRNA
Rfam family: Eukaryotic small subunit ribosomal RNA
Source: RNAcentral